This 253-nucleotide ribosomal RNA is filed under the name uncultured bacterium. Its description in RNAcentral is "partial 16S ribosomal RNA". It matches the Rfam family "Bacterial small subunit ribosomal RNA", at positions 524 to 776 of the family's 1533-position model. The record is from RNAcentral.
UACGGAGGGUGCAAACGUUGCUCGGAAUCAUUGGGCGUAAAGCGCACGUAGGCGGCCGAUUAAGUCGGAUGUGAAAGCCCCGGGCUCAACCCGGGAAGUGCAUACGAAACUGGUCGGCUUGAAUAUGGAAGAGGGUCGCGGAAUUCCCGGUGUAGUGGUGAAAUGCGUAGAGAUCGGGAGGAACACCUGUGGCGAAGGCGGCUCGCUGGGCCGGUCCUGACGCUGAAACGCGAAGGCGUGGGGAGCGAACGGG